AGUGAACGCUGGCGGUAGGCCUAACACAUGCAAGUCGAACGGCAGCACAGUAAGAGCUUGCUCUUACGGGUGGCGAGUGGCGGACGGGUGAGGAAUACAUCGGAAUCUACUUUUUCGUGGGGGAUAACGUAGGGAAACUUACGCUAAUACCGCAUACGACCUACGGGUGAAAGCAGGGGAUCUUCGGACCUUGCGCGAUUGAAUGAGCCGAUGUCGGAUUAGCUAGUUGGCGGGGUAAAGGCCCACCAAGGCGACGAUCCGUAGCUGGUCUGAGAGGAUGAUCAGACACACGGGAACUGAGACACGGUCCAGACUCCUACGGGAGGCAGCAGUGGGGAAUAUUGGACAAUGGGCGCAAGCCUGAUCCAGCCAUACCGCGUGGGUGAAGAAGGACUUAGGGUUGUAAAGCCCUUUUGUUGGGAAAGAAAAGCAGCAGGUUAAUACCCCGCUGUUCUGACGGUACCCAAAGAAUAAGCACCGGCUAACUUCGUG
Molecule: ribosomal RNA, 492 nt
Filed under: uncultured bacterium
Lineage: Bacteria
Description: partial 16S ribosomal RNA
Rfam family: Bacterial small subunit ribosomal RNA
Source: RNAcentral